This is a non-coding RNA of Podarcis muralis (Common wall lizard), 1737 nucleotides long. Lineage: Eukaryota; Metazoa; Chordata; Lepidosauria; Squamata; Lacertidae. The record is from RefSeq and is a predicted model, not a curated record.
UGCACCCCCAGUUCUGUUCCGCUUAUAGAAGGCGGCUCUGCGCGGUGUAACUCAAUACCUGCUUCGCCGUGAUCUGCUCUAGAAGGCAGUUCAGCCUUCCAGAAACUUACGGGUCGCUCGGCCGGGAGAACUCGCUCUCUUCUCGUACUAGCAGUCACCUUUCCCCCAGAUCGCCAAGAUGACUCGGGAGGAAAGUCCGAUCUCCUGAGCCUUUUGCUCAGCUCGAGCGCGAAGCAGGCGCCCUCUUCUAAUCGCAGUCCCUACCCUGAAGUAAGCCUGCAAUGCUCCAGGAUCUGCCCGUUAACCCGGCUGCCUCCCUCCGUCUACCCUCCCCACCCCUCCACUUUUGCUCGUUCUCCCAUCUUCACGAGUCUCUUCUAGUUUUGAAAAAGAAAGGGAGCCAAUUAAAUCAACUCUGCUCCAGCGGAGUCCUGCCUCCUACCCGAUUCUCCCGGCCUCCCCAGGGCCAAUUAGAGAAAACAAAACAAGGCUGACAGAAAACGGAUCUAUCUGGUUAUAUUUCCCCCCCCCACCUCCCCGCUUUUUCAUUCCUUUCCCCUUCUGCAAGGAAAUGCCAGGAAUCGGCCGAGGUUUCAGCCGUCCACGCUAAAACCCACAACGCGGUCGGGUGCACCGCUUCGGCGCCCGGCCUCGUUCUCUGGAAGAGCGUCGCGGGCGGAGAGCCAGGCCGGAGGAACAGACCGCGGCGGCGGCGACUGUGGGUGUCUGGGCUCCCCAGCCACCGCGAUCUAUAGGCGAAGAUCCGAGGCGACCAUUUCGCCGUUCGAGGCCGUCGGGGGAGGACUUCUCUCAGUAGGCAAUUCUGGCAAUGGAGCAAGUCCUUCCAAAAGGCUCUGUAGCCAGAGUCACCCGCCUUCCUCGCAGGUGGGCGUCUGGGCAGGAUUAUGCAAGAUGUCGUGUCCCGGGUGAACAGAGCAGAGCAAAACUCCUGGAACGCCGUCUGGCUGGUCCCUUCCUUCAGACUCUCUAGGUUUGGUUUCCAUUUUUCAGGAUUUUAUUUUGCAACUUUCCUGCUUCCAGCGAUUCCCCCUUCUCCUGUUCAUUAGGUCAAGAGGAUUCUCCUCCCCACAAUCCUAUUUUAAUCUUUUUAUAAAUGAACGUUUUAUAUUCCACAUCCGAGAUGAGGGAAGUGUUAAAUCAAAAUUUCCUCAAGGAACAAACCCUUAAUUUUCAAAUUACACCAAGAUCCCAUUUUAAAUGAUCCCAUUUUAGAAUGAUGGGGUGAAGAUGUGCAGACAGUGUAAGCGAGGCUGUUAAAAUAUUAAUCAAGAAGUGCCUACUUGCUUUACAGAAACUGAUGAUGCAGAAAUAGUUCCGUUAAGUUUUACUCUCUACCCAGCCCAAAUACAUUUCCUGAAAUAAUUGAACUCCCAUCAGCCAGUCCCUGUCUUAAAAUAGCGCUGUAAAGCAUUAUUUUCUCCCAUCACAAUAAACGGAUUUGAGCUACCUGCAAGUAAUGGGGAAUAUAUAUUUCAGCAUGAGACCUUGUGAUGGUGAGGAAAUGGGGCUGUUAUUGCAAACGUUUAUUCUUUCUACUGAACUCCUAGCAGUGAGGAAAUAGAUAUUUUUGAUCAUUGUGCAACUGAGUAUCUGGAGGUGUGUUAUAGAUACACUGAUUAUUUCCCACUUUUUCUGUAACAAGCAGCAUCAGUCCACCUGGGUUUGUUGUUCUUGUUUUUUGCACAAAUAAAUAAGUCACAAGACAUCUGGGGUUGA